AGGAAGUCCUUUUAAAGUCUAACACCGGACAAUAUGUUGUAAGGCAGAAAAAGAUAGGUCCUGAAACUACAGGUCAGUGAUUUUUUUUUAAAACCUUUUUAGAGUCCUUGAGCCUUUGAGAAUCUAAUGAAAUCCCUUAACCUUCCUCAGAUAAAUAAAUAGUGCCACAACCUUUUGCAAGUGACUUCAAGGGCUCCCUAAUUACCAUGCCCCAGGCCCAUCCACAGAUCUCUUUUCUCAGAGGUCCCAAAACAACAGGAACCCUAGACAUCCCGACGGGCACCUCUCUCGAGAUCGCAGCUCUUAAUUUUAUUUGGGGGAAGGGUGCUUUGCAGGGUCUGAUGAAACCCGCGGGCUCUUCCCCUGGAAAAUUCACACUCUUGAAACUGCGUCUUUAUUCUCCGAGGAUUCGGAGGUCGAGGUUAAUAACCCCUGAUCUCGCCGCAAACAAAUCGCUGCACGUUUCAAUUUACCCUUCACCCCUGGCCCCGCCCACCGUCCCACCCGCAGAUUGCGCGAGCCAAUCAGCGGCCGCCCCGCCCCGGUUACCAAGGCGUUGGAGGCACCCACGGACUGAACACCGGAGGGGCCGCGCAGCACCACCGCCCCCACUCGUGGUCUCAAAUGGAGGAUGCCACCUCCUGCAGGAAGCCCUCCCUGACUUCGCUGACUCCCUGGCUAGGUCUCAAUCACCACAGUGACCCCAGCACUACCCAGCAGAGGACUGGCCACAGGAGAGGAGCUUGAUGGUGCCGAGUUCCAUAUGCACAUGGAGUCAGACACUCUGGUGGGAAGUCUGAGCAGCUUAGUGGAUAUAUUUUUUUUUUUAAUUUUCCAUUAUUAAGUGAGGUGCUAAGCUUAGUGGAUAUAAAUAAACAAUAAUCUACAUCAAGCAGUAGUAAGUGUUAUGAAGAAAAAUAAAGCCAGGCUCCUCCUGACUGUCGAGGCCAAGGGCAGAGGGAGGCAGCCCAGUAAGGAGGCCACUGCAAAAGACCAGGUGAGAGCAGAUGACUUGAACCAGAGUGGCAGCAAGGGAGGUCGUGAGACACGGUUGGAUUCCAGAUGUUUUAAAGGCAGAGCGAAUGGGAUUAGCUGAUGGAUAGACCCUAUGUGGGUGCUCCAAGGUGUUUGUCCUGAGUAUCUGGAACGAUGGACCUGCCAUCAACUGGGUUUGGAGGUUGAAGGAGGGAAACCUCAAGUUUGGUUUGGGACAAGUUUAAGUCUGGAAGUCAGCUGAAAUUCCAAGCAGAGAAGAGUCCACCAUCGAAUAUACCAGUAUAGAGUUCAGGGCAGAGAUCCAAGCUGGAAGCAGACACCUGAGAGUUAUCAUUAUAUAAAGAUGGUGAAGCUAGUAAGUGACACAGAGAUGAGGUCAUUCUAUUGAUGACGAAACUUAGGCACAGAAGGGGUUAAGCAAGUCGCCCAAAGCCACAGUAAUGUUCACCUGUAAGGCCACUGGCAGAGCCAGGAUUCAAACUCAGGCAACCCGACCCCAGAGCCCACACUCUUAACUCCGGGUUGUAUUAGUUUAAGAGUUAAUCCACGAAAAACACGGUAGGUGCCUGGCACGCAGUAAACGCUACAUGUAUAAUAUGCCCCCACAUCUCAUGAAAGCACAGCUCAUUCCUGCAGCUCUCCCUCCCCUUAAUGCCGAUUCCUCACUUGCCUUCCACCUAAGUUAGAGCUUACAGCUCAUCGCAGGGACCUCUGUUCCUCGGCACUGCGCUGUAAUAACCUGGGCCUUAAAACCCCCUAUUAAAGCGCAACGCUGUGCAAGGGCAUCUCUUUAUUUUGCCAUCUGCCGUCCCUGCCUUACAACUUUCCCCAUUAAAGACCCUCCCAAGAAUACAGAACAUUCCCGACUCACAAACCUCUCUCUGCCUCUCAACCCUCACUCAGGCGCCCACCCGUGUUAAAGGGCACCCUACCCCUGGUUCCCAUCC
Molecule: non-coding RNA, 1943 nt
Organism: Microcebus murinus (gray mouse lemur)
Lineage: Eukaryota; Metazoa; Chordata; Mammalia; Primates; Cheirogaleidae
Source: RefSeq, a predicted model, not a curated record